This is a non-coding RNA of Cinara cedri, 443 nucleotides long. Lineage: Eukaryota; Metazoa; Arthropoda; Insecta; Hemiptera; Aphididae. The record is from the annotation of a GenBank genome assembly.
UUUUUAUAGUGUCUAUUGUAAAAUACGAAUAAUAGACCGAAAAAAUUAAUACGUAAAAUACAACACACAAUUGUAAUUGCAACCUUGGAUUUUAACCGGGAAAAAAAUAUAUUAUUAUACGUACACACGAUACAAUGUGAUAAAAUUCCAUUAUACAAAAUUACGGGAAUAUCGUAAUGUCUCCAGCUAUACGGCGUAUAUUUUCACGUUGGUGUUUUGUAUAUCAUAUUUGUAACAAUAUAAACUGCAUUAAUGAAUAUGCGCACGUUAUAAACACGUAGGUGUAUUGCGAAUAAAUAUAGUGAAAAAUUAAUUUAAAUCCAUAUACGAUAAAAAAAAAAAAAAAAAAAAGAUCCCCAAAAUAUCAUCCGGUGUUUUUUUUUUACAGAGUUAUGAGAAUGUAUGAUGAUGAUGAUGACAAUGAAAAUAUUUGUCACCGGUUU